RNAcentral lists this ribosomal RNA (292 nucleotides) under uncultured prokaryote. RNAcentral's name for it is "partial 16S ribosomal RNA". It matches the Rfam family "Bacterial small subunit ribosomal RNA", at positions 505 to 796 of the family's 1533-position model. The record is from RNAcentral.
GUGCCAGCAGCCGCGGUAAUACAGAGGGUGCGAGCGUUAAUCGGAUUUACUGGGCGUAAAGCGUGCGUAGGCGGCCAUUUAAGUCAAAUGUGAAAUCCCCGAGCUUAACUUGGGAAUUGCAUUCGAUACUGGAUGGCUAGAGUAUGGGAGAGGAUGGUAGAAUUCCAGGUGUAGCGGUGAAAUGCGUAGAGAUCUGGAGGAAUACCGAUGGCGAAGGCAGCCAUCUGGCCUAAUACUGACGCUGAGGUACAAAAGCAUGGGGAGCAAACAGGAUUAGAUACCCGUGUAGUCC